AUGACUGGAACCAUCAGCUCGGUUGGUGAUGGGUCCUCUGGAGAAGAAGGAAAAGGCAACAAGGCUGAUGAAGGGAACAACCACCAUCACCAGCAGCAGCAGAAGCAGAACUUCAUGACAAUGGUGAAGAAGGCGGUUUCUGAACGGCCGGCAGAGCCACCAAGCAUCUGCGAGGUCCCCAAGGACCUCAUUGAGGGCAACAAGGGUGCCUACACCCCCAAAGUCGUCGGCAUCGGCCUGCUCCUGGACGACAGUUGGCGCACAUCGACGAGCAUGGUCAGGCUGGAGCGCUACAAGUGGUGCUGCGUCCGCAAGCUCGUCAUGGGGCGCCACCCAGACCCAGCCAGCUGGUCGAGGGAGGUACACGAGCCGCUGCUUGGCAAGUGCUUCGACCUGAUGGUGGGCUUGGUGCCGCAAAUUCGUGCCUCCUACAGCAGCGUUGCUUCCGACACGAGCAGUGAAGAUGUGGCGAUCAAGAUGCUGCUCGACAGCUGCUUCGUCCUCCACCGCCUGCUCAAGCACGCAGGAAAAGGAAAAGGCAACAACGACUACGACGACGAUGACUGGAACCAGCAGCUGGGCCGGUGCUGGGUCUGGGGAACCGUGAAGCGUGACCUACUGCUGCUCAGCAACCAGGUUCCCUUCUUUGUCCUCCAGGCGCUGUUCAAGCAGCUGGGGAAUGACCGCGGCACGGGCGACAUCCUUGUCAACUGCGGCCUCCAGCUCUUGAGCUCGCUACGUCCUGGCCGGCUGCACAACGCACCCAUCAUCUGCGGUGACGUGCACCAUCUCCUCCACCUAUUCUACCUCUCAAUCGACCUGCCGCCCCGGGACUGGGAGCCCUCCAACACCAAGACACGGGGAAUCCGCUCCAACUUGAGCCGCCCGCCUGUAAAGCGACGACCGCCGAAUUCGAAGCCGGCCCACGACUCCAUCUCCAGGGAGCUUCUGGCAGUGCCAGAGGCAGAGCUCACGUGGUGGGUGCCUUGCGCCAAGGAGCUGGAGGAGGCCGGCGUUCGGAUCCGUGCACGCAGGUACGGCGCCAAGAGCUUCCUGGACGUCAGGUUCCGCCGGCGCCGAGGCAUCCUAGAGAUCCCGCCGCUGGAGCUCUUCGACUACAGCGUACCCUUGUUCCGGAACCUGAUCGCGUUCGAGCAGACCUACCCAUCCACGCCGGGCCGCAUAACGGCAUACGCCAUCUUCAUGGACUGCCUCCUCAAGACGCCACAGGACGUGCGCCUCCUCCACCAGAGCGGGGUGCUACUGAACCACAUGAACGGCCAGAGAGGCGAAACCGCCAUGGGGUUCUUCAGUAGCCUCUGCGCGGAGGCGCACACAUCUGCCGACCGCAACUACCUUGCCGGCGUGAUGGAUCAGGUGCUCAAGUACCAGAAAAGAAAGUGGCCCCGUUGGCGUGCCGCUCUGGUGAGCGGCUACUUCACCAAUCCGUGGGUGACCACAUCGGUCGUCGCCGCUGUGAUCUUGCUCACCAUGACAGUGCUGCAGUCAUUCUACGCUGUCUAUGGGUACUACAAGCCAUCCAAGUAA
Molecule: ribosomal RNA, 1548 nt
Filed under: Triticum aestivum (bread wheat)
Lineage: Eukaryota; Viridiplantae; Streptophyta; Magnoliopsida; Poales; Poaceae
Description: partial small subunit ribosomal RNA
Source: RNAcentral